Hemibagrus wyckioides is the source of this 726-nucleotide long non-coding RNA. RefSeq lists it as uncharacterized. The transcript has 3 exons. The record is from RefSeq and is a predicted model, not a curated record. NCBI's taxonomy places the organism in Eukaryota, Metazoa, Chordata, Actinopteri, Siluriformes, Bagridae.
UCUAGAAAUGAAAUGCGGUUUAUGUUCAGGUUUUUGUUCUGUCUCAUCUCACUGUUUACAGACAUAAUUGAAUUCUCACUGAAGCAGAGAUUGUGUUUCACAUGUAAUCAUGCCAAUGCUGCUCAAAUUCCUGACUGGAACUAAAUUAUUCCUCCUGAACCCUCUCAGCUUGUUUCGUCUGAAAACACUUCCUGUGCAGGUGCUGAUCUCGGAUUCCUCGUUCUUCCUUCCCAAAACCCCGGAACAACAGGAGGAGGCUUAACACGGUGUAGCAUGAAGGAAAGAGGUCGGGCGUGAUUGUCAUUCAAAGCCUGGGAAAGUCAACAGCAUAGAGAGCUGGAGGUGUGAAUAAGCCACGCGGGCAAAGCCGAGCAGGAUCCCGCCCCCUGAAUGACCUCUCGGUGAACCGGCCGAGGGAAAAACAAGAAAGAUUAUCCGGUGCGCUGUACCAGAUGUACCUGGACGCGCAUCCAUGGCUUCGUACGUGAAUUCUGACGUAAGCGAAUGAUCACAAUGACUGGUCAUAAAUCACCGUGCGCGCGCUAUGAGCGCUAUUAGCCCACCCGCGUCCCGAGGAAUGAAGGCGCGAGACCGGUGAAGAAAAAGGGGGUGUUCCUGUGGCACGAGCCGGGGAGACGUCACGCCGCGCGCUACUUAGCUUUUCAUUUGAAUACUGUAUCUGCUAGCUGAAGGUGACCCGCGGGUCACGAGGCACACACACACACA